This 280-nucleotide small RNA is filed under the name Pogona vitticeps (central bearded dragon). RNAcentral describes it as "sRNA (ENSPVIG00000020759.1)". The record is from RNAcentral. Lineage: Eukaryota; Metazoa; Chordata; Lepidosauria; Squamata; Agamidae.
UUUACUUAAACUUUCUAGAUGAUCCCUAAUGGGAUUAAAGUCCUUCACAGGAAGGCAGAAGCAGGCUAUUCAAAACAAGGUCAAGCUCCCUCCCCCGCUUUUUUUCUUGGUAAGCGCAGAAAUCAACAAAAAUGUUAUAUAACUUCUAUUUAUAUCUAACUUGCACACUAGCUGCAGGCAUACAAGAGAAGCUGAGGAGGAAAUUUAAUGAGCUCUCAAGGCGUGCUCACCUUCCCAGGCUGGUAGAAACAGCAUGAGUUUCUCCUUCCUCCUCUCUCCC